This 515-nucleotide ribosomal RNA is filed under the name uncultured beta proteobacterium. RNAcentral's name for it is "bacterial SSU rRNA". It matches the Rfam family "Bacterial small subunit ribosomal RNA", at positions 343 to 849 of the family's 1533-position model. Lineage: Bacteria; Pseudomonadati; Pseudomonadota; Betaproteobacteria. The record is from RNAcentral.
GGGAGGCAGCAGUGGGGAAUUUUGGACAAUGGGCGAAAGCCUGAUCCAGCCAUACCGCGUGAGUGAAGAAGGCCUUCGGGUUGUAAAGCUCUUUCAGCCGGAAAGAAAUUGCUUCUAUUAAUACUAGGAGUAGAUGACGGUACCGGAAGAAGAAGCACCGGCUAACUACGUGCCAGCAGCCGCGGUAAUACGUAGGGUGCGAGCGUUAAUCGGAAUUACUGGGCGUAAAGCGUGCGCAGGCGGUUUUUUAAGCCAGAUGUGAAAUCCCCGGGCUCAACCUGGGAACUGCAUUUGGAACUGGAAGACUAGAGUGUAGCAGAGGGGGGUAGAAUUCCACGUGUAGCAGUGAAAUGCGUAGAUAUGUGGAGGAAUACCAAUGGCGAAGGCAGCCCCCUGGGUUAACACUGACGCUCAUGCACGAAAGCGUGGGGAGCAAACAGGAUUAGAUACCCUGGUAGUCCACGCCCUAAACGAUGUCAACUAGGUGUUGGGGGAGGAGACUUCCUUAGUACCGU